AUGUCUGCAAGCCUCAAGACGGCAUUCCCCCCAUCCGUCUUUGGCGUAAUGGGACCCACGGCUACGGAAACACAACUCAGAAGUCAAAAACCUGCAAUUUUCAACCAAACUCAGGAGAUUUCAAGCAUAUCCGAUAAAGAUGCAGCAAAAUUGGCUGCAUUAGAAAGCCCAUGUCUCAAAAUAGUCCAGAAUGAAGCUGCUGACAGACCUCUGGAGGUUCAUGAGAAGGUCGCCUAUGCAGAGCCUUCGUUACCUUUGAAUGAGGAAGAGGGAUCUGCUAAAUCCUUAGAAGAUGAACAAAAAGAAGUGUGGAACAUUGUUGAUCCUGUUGAGUCAGUUGUUUGUCAAAAAGUUGAGUCCAUCUUCAGCAGUGGACCACCUUCAGAUGAUGGAGCUGACCUUCAUGACUUCACAACACCCAGCCUUAUAUCGGGCAAUUUCCAAGAGAAAGAGGAACCUCACCAAGUCACAGAGGAAGAAGAAACAGUUUUAGACUUGGAGAAAGAAGAAGAAGAUGAACAACGGCUCCAGGUCCAAACCGAUGCAGGAGAUACACAGCAAGCUGACAAAGACGUAGAUGAUGUUCAAGGAGAAACAUCCGAUUGUGAAACUGAAGCAAUGCUUGAACCAACCGUUGAGUCCAGACCUAGUAGCGUAGAAUCUGCAGAAUGUGAUGAAAACAUUUCCAACGAGGAAGUAGCAGUGAUGAGAGAAGAACCAAGUACUUCAAUGGAAACAUACACAGAGGAAGCCGAGGAUAAGUUGUAUCCAGAUGGAGAAGAGAUGGACACAUGGGACAGCGUCAUAGAGAGGAAGGUUGAGGUCAAGAUUCAGGACGAUGUGAAAAACGAAGAUCAAAACCAACAUGCUGAGCCAGAAGAAGACAUAUCAGCAAAAGAACCAGAGGAAGAGGUCAGGGAAGCUCAUCAUAACGAAAGCAUGGCUCCUUCAAUGAUGAUCAUGAGAGCAGAAGAUGAACAAGUCACCAUGUUGGACCAAGAGCUUGCUCCACCUGCAGAAAAAGAAGAAGAACACGAUGAAGAGGACUCUCAGAAUGUGUCUGUGUCCUGGAGGACGGAGCUGGAGGGCGACAGCUAUGCUCAAGAAAACACUCUGGCCGACACUCGCCCCCUGAUCCGAUACAAGAGCGACGACACAGAUGCCAACACGCUAGCGUCACACGUCGACGAGAGCGAGUCCAGCGAAGGUGAGCAGGAACGAAAAAUGGAAGAGGCAGGAAUCGGAGCGUGGAGUGAUGGCAAGUCAAAGGCCUUUGGGACCAUGGAGGAUCUGUGUGAGGAAGUGGAAGAGGAAACUAUGGAUGAAGAAUAUAAUCUGGGAUACACCCAUGCUGAAGACAGGGACAUCAGCCAAGGUUCAAUAGUGAGUGAGGACGUUUCACUGUUGAAUGAGGAGAAGCUGAAGAACACUGGAGAGGAACCUUCCGGAAAAGAAACAGAAGAUGUGGAAAGGAGUAAUGUAGACCUUGGAGAGGAACAGGAACUAGAGAUGUGGCCAGCUCAUAUCUUCAGUGCUGAUUUAGUGCAGCAGCAAGUCAGAGAUAAACUCCUAAAAACGGACAAUGAUUCUGUUGAGGUGAACGAGCCAGUGGAGGCUGAAAGAGCGAGUGACUCGUCGUCAAGUGAGCUUGGGAUAAGUUUAAACUGUGAACAUGCUUUAAAGGAAGAUCAAGCUUCAGACAAACAGCUCUUUAGAGAUCCAAAUGCAGACAUGAAUCAAACAAAUAGUGUGGAGGAAGACCAAGUCCAAGUCCAAAACGAAGCUCAGGAAACUUUGAAUGAGUCAAAGAAUGGAGAAGAAGACGAAGACAACAGAUCCAUGGUGCCUCAUGCUGAUGUGGAUCUUUCCAGUCCGACAGAUUUCAAAGAUUUAAUAGAAACCCCAAACCCACAGGAUCCAAACUUUGUGUUCUUGGUACCAGCAGAGGACAAAAGCCAGGAGGAUCUAACAGCCUCCCCUGAAAUCCCAGAGCAAACAUUUAGUAAGUCCCAGGAACACGUCUCUGAGGACUUUCACAUGCUUCCUGAUCCUCCAGAAACAGCUGAUUGGGAAGUCCUGGAAAACCCAAAGCAGCAGUUUGACAUCAGAGACCAGAACCAGGAUGAUGACGAUAUGCUAGAAUCAGCUGAUGAUGAUGUAAUAAACCCAGAAGAGCCUGCUGAAAUGUCCCCUGACGAUGCACCUGAUGAAAACGACAUCUUCAUUGUGAAAGAUGCAACAGGUGAGCUUUUCCCCUCUGAGGUGAAGAAGGAUUUCUGGGUGUCCUCCUUGGAGAGCGGAGCCUCUUAUGAACCAGAGGAUUCUCACAUGGAACCCUCGGAGCAAUCAAACAAAAAUCAAGGAUUUACUGACAACCAGGUUAGUGAGAGUUUGGAAAACUCAGCGGUGGUAAAUGGUAACUCCGAGUUCGAUGCUGAGGCGUCUAAAGCCAAAGCUGCUGUGAAGGAGCAGGAACAAAAGAACGUGUUGUUCUAUUCUGAGGAAUCUGAAGGUGAGGCUGAAUCAUGGUCCUCCGGAGAAGAAGAAGAAUGUAGAGAAGAGCUAGAUCAGUCUUUAGAUGCUGAACACAUCUGUUAG
This 2598-nucleotide long non-coding RNA is filed under the name Nothobranchius furzeri (turquoise killifish). RNAcentral describes it as "lncRNA (ENSNFUG00015010704.1)". The record is from RNAcentral. Lineage: Eukaryota; Metazoa; Chordata; Actinopteri; Cyprinodontiformes; Nothobranchiidae.